GACGAACGCUGGCGGCGUGCCUAACACAUGCAAGUUGAGCGACGAACCAGGGCUUGCCCUGGGGCAAAGCAGCGAACGGGUGAGUAACACGUGGGUAACCUACCCCGAUAACCGGGACAACCCGAGGAAACUCGGGCUAAUACCGGAUGUGCCCACUGGACUUCGGUUCAGUGCGUAAAGGAAGCUUCGGCCUCCGUAUCGGGAGGGGCCCGCGGCCCAUUAGUUUGUUGGUGGGGUAACGGCCCACCAAGACCGCGAUGGGUAGCUGGUCUGAGAGGAGGAUCAGCCACACUGGGACUGAGACACGGCCCAGACUCCUACGGGAGGCAGCAGUGGGGAAUCUUGCGCAAUGGGCGAAAGCGUGACGCAGCAACGCCGCGUGGGGGAAGAAGGCCUUCGGGUUGUAAACCCCUUUCAGGAGGGACGAAGGUUCGUCGGUGAAUAGCCGUCCGGACUGACGGUACCUCCACAAGAAGCCCCGGCUAACUACGUG
RNAcentral lists this ribosomal RNA (493 nucleotides) under uncultured bacterium. RNAcentral's name for it is "partial 16S ribosomal RNA". It matches the Rfam family "Bacterial small subunit ribosomal RNA", at positions 28 to 507 of the family's 1533-position model. The record is from RNAcentral.